This is a long non-coding RNA of Camellia sinensis, 554 nucleotides long. RefSeq lists it as uncharacterized. The record is from RefSeq and is a predicted model, not a curated record. Lineage: Eukaryota; Viridiplantae; Streptophyta; Magnoliopsida; Ericales; Theaceae.
UCUCUCUAUAUAUAUAUAUAUAUAUCUAGGGCAAGAGAGCUUCUAGGAAAGCUCAUAAAAUGUAACAACUAUUAGAGAGAGAGAGAGAGUGCUUUGAUGGCCAUAGCUUCUGCUUCUGCUUCUGCUUCUGCUUCAUCUCCUUCUGCCAUUCCUAGUGCACCGCGUCUUUUUUCUCUUUCUGUGAGCUCAAAGAAUGGGCACUUAGUUCAUCUAUAUGAUAUGAAGAUGAGGCUGAUUAGGGCAGGGCAGCUAACAACUUUCUCUCUCUGCCCUUGGAUUGGAUCACUUAGCAUAAUUGGUAUGCCCAAAAAAAACACUUAAUUAGAAGCAAAAUAAUCAUUAUAGUGAUCAUAAUCUGAUCAUAUAUACACAUACAAAAACAAAAACAUUACCCGUGGAGGUACCAAAAAAAAAAAUCGAAAAAGGAUGAAUGCAGUGUUGCCAGUGUAUUGUGUAUUCUGUGUAUUUUUAUAACUGAUUUCCGUGUUUGUGACAAUCAUGGUUUCGACGAGGAGUUCCCCUAUAAACUUCAAAAUUUCUGGUUUUUUUGGCUA